GCAGGUGCGCAGGCACCGGAUACUUCGCCUGUCAAGCGGGAAACGCGGGUUCGAAUCCCGCCACCGGCU
This 69-nucleotide transfer RNA is filed under the name Streptomyces sp. RJA2910. RNAcentral's name for it is "tRNA-Asp". It matches the Rfam family "tRNA". Rfam says of the family: Transfer RNA (tRNA) molecules are approximately 80 nucleotides in length. Their secondary structure includes four short double-helical elements and three loops (D, anti-codon, and T loops). The record is from RNAcentral. RNAcentral also lists the same sequence under 2 other names. Lineage: Bacteria; Bacillati; Actinomycetota; Actinomycetes; Kitasatosporales; Streptomycetaceae.